This 72-nucleotide transfer RNA is filed under the name Camelus bactrianus (Bactrian camel). It matches the Rfam family "tRNA". Rfam says of the family: Transfer RNA (tRNA) molecules are approximately 80 nucleotides in length. Their secondary structure includes four short double-helical elements and three loops (D, anti-codon, and T loops). The record is from Rfam by way of RNAcentral. RNAcentral also lists the same sequence under 2 other names. Lineage: Eukaryota; Metazoa; Chordata; Mammalia; Artiodactyla; Camelidae.
GAGGGUAUAGCUCAGUGGUAGAGUGCCUGCUUAGCAUGCAUGAGGUCCUGGGUUCAAUCCCCAGCACCUCCA